UGGGGAAUUUUGGACAAUGGGGGCAACCCUGAUCCAGCAAUGCCGCGUGCAGGAAGAAGGCCUUCGGGUUGUAAACUGCUUUUGUACGGAACGAAAAGGCUCUGGUUAAUACCUGGGGCACAUGACGGUACCGUAAGAAUAAGCACCGGCUAACUACGUGCCAGCAGCCGCGGUAAUACGUAGGGUGCGAGCGUUAAUCGGAAUUACUGGGCGUAAAGCGUGCGCAGGCGGUGCUGUAAGACAGGCGUGAAAUCCCCGGGCUUAACCUGGGAAUGGCGCUUGUGACUGCAGUGCUGGAGUGUGGCAGAGGGGGAUGGAAUUCCGCGUGUAGCAGUGAAAUGCGUAGAUAUGCGGAGGAACACCGAUGGCGAAGGCAAUCCCCUGGGCCUGCACUGACGCUCAUGCACGAAAGCGUGGGGAGCAA
RNAcentral lists this ribosomal RNA (424 nucleotides) under uncultured bacterium. Its description in RNAcentral is "bacterial SSU rRNA". It matches the Rfam family "Bacterial small subunit ribosomal RNA", at positions 355 to 771 of the family's 1533-position model. The record is from RNAcentral.